Molecule: ribosomal RNA, 497 nt
Filed under: uncultured bacterium
Lineage: Bacteria
Description: partial 16S ribosomal RNA
Rfam family: Bacterial small subunit ribosomal RNA
Source: RNAcentral
GAUGAACGCUGGCGGCGUGCCUAAUACAUGCAAGUCGAGCGAACGGACGAGAAGCUUGCUUCUCUGAUGUUAGCGGCGGACGGGUGAGUAACACGUGGAUAACCUACCUAUAAGACUGGGAUAACUUCGGGAAACCGGAGCUAAUACCGGAUAAUAUUUUGAACCGCAUGGUUCAAAAGUGAAAGACGGUCUUGCUGUCACUUAUAGAUGGAUCCGCGCUGCAUUAGCUAGUUGGUAAGGUAACGGCUUACCAAGGCAACGAUGCAUAGCCGACCUGAGAGGGUCAUCCGCCACCCUGGAUCUGAGACACGGUCCCGACUCCUACGGGAGGCCGCAGUCGGGACUCCUCCGCAAUGGGCGAGAGCCUGACGGAGCAACGCCGCGUGAGUGCUGAAGGUCUUCGGCUCGUAAAACUCUGUUAUUAGUGAAGAACAUAUGUGUAAGUAACUGUGCACAUCUUGACGGUACCUAAUCAGAAAGCCCCGGCUAACUACGUG